RNAcentral lists this ribosomal RNA (253 nucleotides) under uncultured bacterium. RNAcentral's name for it is "partial 16S ribosomal RNA". It matches the Rfam family "Bacterial small subunit ribosomal RNA", at positions 524 to 776 of the family's 1533-position model. The record is from RNAcentral.
UACGGAGGGUCCGAGCGUUAUCCGGAAUUAUUGGGUUUAAAGGGUCCGUAGGCGGGCGAUUAAGUCAGUGGUGAAAGUCUGCAGCUCAACUGUAGAACUGCCUUUGAUACUGGUCGUCUUGAGUUAUAGUGAAGUUGCCGGAAUAUGUAGUGUAGCGGUGAAAUGCAUAGAUAUUACAUAGAACACCGAUUGCGAAGGCAGGUGACUAACUAUAUACUGACGCUGAUGGACGAAAGCGUGGGGAGCGAACAGG